Salvelinus sp. IW2-2015 is the source of this 459-nucleotide long non-coding RNA. RefSeq lists it as uncharacterized. The record is from RefSeq and is a predicted model, not a curated record. NCBI's taxonomy places the organism in Eukaryota, Metazoa, Chordata, Actinopteri, Salmoniformes, Salmonidae.
UAGCGGUUGAAGUGGAAUUCUUUCUCCAGCUCGAGAGCCUGCUGGCGGGUGUAGGCAGUGCGAGACCUCUUGGGCACUCCUCCAUUAUCUGGCCUCCAAAACGCAUGUAGCCAAGACCACCUGAGAGCCUAUCUAUCAACAUAAUAUCCAAGAAGCUGGCUGCGGAUGACACUGAACUUGGCCUAAAGCGAGCUCUGCUGGUGGCUGGAGGAUGCAGAUUUAUCUUGCUGCUAUGGCUGACCUCGCGGUGAACCGCGCGCUGGGGAUGGUUCUUUUUUUCUGCCUGGCAUUGUCUGCCUUGCUGUGCAACGCAUAAAGGACCCCGAUUUGGACAUUUUAAUUGUGUAACAAUGGUGUAAUUUUCUCCCCAGACGUCAAAAUGAUAAUAGCAUAGAAUAAUGGUUUUACUUAUAUUUUCUACACCACAAACUGUAAUGGAAAUAAAGUUACAUUUCGUUG